UGACGGAAAUAUCUUCCCAAUGGCCCUGUAUAACUCUGACGGUAAAUGUCGUUUGACCCUUCAACAGUGUCAAAUUCUGAAGCCCUAAUCUCACAUUUUCGAACAAGCGACGUCAACAACUCCUCGUUCGCGUUUUCCAUUUUAAUUUAGGUCGGUACCAGGUCGGUACCUCUGGACUGUCUUUAUCACAUGACUCAUGUGUUUGUCCGGGUGAUCUGUACAUCCCAUAUCCGCAUUUCAGUGUCGCGGAAUAUCAUAUUUUAAACUGUAACCUUCAUGGAUAUGGUUGAACAGAGUUUGGACAGCUAUUAGAGUUACGGCAAACAGAGGAGGUUCUCCAAUUGGAAGAGGGUGUGGUGACGGAGAAGCAGACUGCAGUUACCAUACAGAGUGUACAGCAGGCCGCAGCUUUUGCAGAUCGUAAUGUUCAAUACCAGUUCUGCACAGCGGAUAGGUGACAGAUGACCAGCUAGAGGCAGCAGGCGACGGUACUGGGGCAGUCAGUGUGGUCUUCACUGCUGCAUUUACUGGAGUACAGCAAGCAGUGUGUGUGUGUGUGUGUGUGUGUGUGUGUGUGUGUGUGUGUGUGUGUGUGUGUGUGUGUGUGUGUGUGUGUGUGUGUGUGUGUGUGUGUGUGUGUGUGUGUGUGUGUGUGUGUGUGUGUGUGUGUGUGUGUGUGUGUGUGUGUGUGUGUGUGUGUGUGUGUGUGUGUGUGUGUGUGCACGCGUGGCGUACACAAUAUCAUUUUAGUGAAGUAUUGAUGUUUCAUUUACCUCUCUCCUCAUUCAGAACCCCUUCAGUAAUGGGGGUAGUCCUGCGGAGGAGAUGGUGGGAGGGGAGUUUUUUUUUGCCAAUUUCUCUGCUGACACAGUCAGAGAUGGGGCAGCCAAAGCAGUGUCGGUGCAGUCUGACCCAACAUUUAAACAGGUCGGAGGUCACUUCAAUGUGAUGAUGAGCCCACCUGAUGUGUUGCAAGCUGGCACUCCACGGACCAUUGCCCCUUGCACACACAGGUACAGCUUCACCUGCCACACAGUCCCCCAUCUAUGUGGUUCGCCUCAGUUCUCCCCCCCAACUCCACAUUGGAAUGGACUUUCCCUAGUUAAACCUUCAGGAAAUGAUCCCCUCUGUAUUUUCCCUCCAAUUUUUUGCGUGAUUGGUUUGUGAUUGUGUGUAUCAUGACAUAAAAAUACAUUAAAAUGGGAGAAAACAAAAACUGUCUCACUUACCUGCCAUCCCCAGAGACCUUGGUGAAAAGUAGACUCUACAGCAUGGCAGUUGAAAUUGGUGAGGCCUACGUUUGCUUGCAUCCCUAAAACUGCCCCUCUCCCAUCUUUGUUAGACAGACGUGUGGUUAAUCCACUAGUCGUGAUGAAUCAUACAUCUUCGUGUCCCUGUCAGGUGAACAUGAUGUAUGUUAUAUUUAGAUUUGGGUUAUAGGAUGACCGAAGGAGUCCUCUUUAAUGGGGCAAGGAAACGUCUCGGUAACACUUUAUUUGGAUAGUCUGUAGAGCAUCUACAGAUGGGACUAUCAGUAACAUUUCAACUAACCCUUACCCUUAUCCUAACCCUAAAAACGUAACCCUUACCUUCUCAAGCAGUUGCUUAUCAACAGAUGGUCAUGCUUAUCAACAGAUGGUCAUACGAUCAACACACUAUCUGGACUAUCCAAAUAAAGUAUGACCAACAUCUUCAAGUAGAUUGUUUCAACUGUUGUGCACAAAUGUAAAGUGUUGCCAUGUAAAAUAAAUGGGGUCUUAAAUGCAGUACGAGAAAUAAAGGCAAAUCCUAAAUGCAAAAGUACUAUAGGCAAUUUGUUUAUCAUUCUAAUUUGAAUUUGUGGACAAUGUAUUUGAAUACACUGUCAAUUUGUUUGUUUUUAUGUGCGUAGGUUUUACGUAACGGUGACAUUAAGUUUGACCAUUUAUUUGUCUUAGUCUCUCUAUGCAGGAAGAUGAAUGCCCCCCUGGGCACCUAGGGAUAAGAAGAGCACAACACAAUGAAAGUAAAAACGAAUUUAUCUGACAAAUGGAGAUUUAAAAGUAAAAGUUCAGACUUACUAUGGGCAUAGAGAGAAAAAGGAGAAGCCUUACUAAAUGUUUUCAUGUCAUUUCCAAAAUGAUUUUGAUUGUCUUGUGCAAGUGGUAUUGACUA
This is an RNA transcript of Oncorhynchus keta (chum salmon), 2154 nucleotides long. It is a transcript of the gene named upstream transcription factor 2, c-fos interacting, with no coding region annotated. NCBI's taxonomy places the organism in Eukaryota, Metazoa, Chordata, Actinopteri, Salmoniformes, Salmonidae. The record is from RefSeq and is a predicted model, not a curated record. The transcript has 5 exons.